GAUGAACGCUGGCGGCGUGCCUAAUACAUGCAAGUCGAGCGAACGGACGAGAAGCUUGCUUCUCUGAUGUUAGCGGCGGACGGGUGAGUAACACGUGGAUAACCUACCUAUAAGACUGGGAUAACUUCGGGAAACCGGAGCUAAUACCGGAUAAUAUUUUGAACCGCAUGGUUCAAAAGUGAAAGACGGUCUUGCUGUCACUUAUAGAUGGAUCCGCGCUGCAUUAGCUAGUUGGUAAGGUAACGGCUUACCAAGGCAGCGAUGCAUAGCCGACCUGAGAGGGUGAUCGGCCACACUGGAACUGAGACACGGUCCAGACUCCUACGGGAGGCAGCAGUAGGGAAUCUUCCGCAAUGGGCGAAAGCCUGACGGAGCAACGCCGCGUGAGUGAUGAAGGUCUUCGGAUCGUAAAACUCUGUUAUUAGGGAAGAACAUAUGUGUAAGUAACUGUGCACAUCUUGACGGUACCUAAGCAGAAAGCCACGGCUAACUACGU
Molecule: ribosomal RNA, 496 nt
Filed under: uncultured bacterium
Lineage: Bacteria
Description: partial 16S ribosomal RNA
Rfam family: Bacterial small subunit ribosomal RNA
Source: RNAcentral